GCGCCGUUAGCUCAGUUGGUAGAGCAGCUGACUCUUAAUCAGCGGGUCCGGGGUUCGAGCCCCUGACGGCGCACAA
This 76-nucleotide transfer RNA is filed under the name Mycobacteroides abscessus. RNAcentral's name for it is "tRNA-Lys". It matches the Rfam family "tRNA". From Rfam's summary of the family: Transfer RNA (tRNA) molecules are approximately 80 nucleotides in length. Their secondary structure includes four short double-helical elements and three loops (D, anti-codon, and T loops). Further hydrogen bonds mediate the characteristic L-shaped molecular structure. tRNAs have two regions of fundamental functional importance: the anti-codon, which is responsible for specific mRNA codon recognition, and the 3' end, to which the tRNAs corresponding amino acid is attached (by aminoacyl-tRNA synthetases). tRNAs cope with the degeneracy of the genetic code in two manners: having more than one tRNA (with a specific anti-codon) for a particular amino acid; and 'wobble' base-pairing, i.e. permitting non-standard base-pairing at the 3rd anti-codon position. RNAcentral also lists the same sequence under 31 other names. The record is from RNAcentral. Lineage: Bacteria; Bacillati; Actinomycetota; Actinomycetes; Mycobacteriales; Mycobacteriaceae.